CGGAGGGUGCGAGCGUUGUCCGGAAUCACUGGGCGUAAAGGGCGCGUAGGCGGCCCCUUAAGCGUGCGGUGAAAGCCUGGGGCUCAACCCCGGGUCGGCCGUGCGGACUGGGGGGCUCGAGCACCGUAGGGGCAGGCGGAAUUCCGGGUGUAGCGGUGGAAUGCGUAGAGAUCCGGAAGAACACCGGUGGCGAAGGCGGCCUGCUGGGCGGUAGCUGACGCUGAGGCGCGACAGCGUGGGGAGCAAACAGGAUUAGAUACCCUGGUAGUCCACGCCGUAAACGAUGGGCACUAGGUGCCUGGGGGAGCGACCCCCCGGGUGCCGGCGCUAACGCAUUAAGUGCCCCGCCUGGGGAGUACGGCCGCAAGGCUG
Molecule: ribosomal RNA, 372 nt
Filed under: uncultured organism
Description: bacterial SSU rRNA
Rfam family: Bacterial small subunit ribosomal RNA
Source: RNAcentral